Molecule: ribosomal RNA, 253 nt
Filed under: uncultured bacterium
Lineage: Bacteria
Description: partial 16S ribosomal RNA
Rfam family: Bacterial small subunit ribosomal RNA
Source: RNAcentral
UACGUAGGGGGCAAGCGUUGUCCGGAUUUACUGGGUGUAAAGGGUGCUCAGGUGGCUUGGCAAGUCAGUGGUGAAAUCUGAGAGCUUAACUCUCAAACUGCCAUUGAUACUUCUUAGCUUGAGUACGGAAGAGGCUGAUGGAAUUUCAGGUGUAGCAGUGAAAUGCGUAGAUAUCUGAAAGAACACCAGUGGCGAAGGCGACUCACUGGACACGUAUUGACGCUGAGGUGCGAAAGCGUGGGGAGCAAACAGG